AUUGAACGCUGGCGGCAGGCCUAACACAUGCAAGUCGAGCGGAUGAAGGGAGCUUGCUCCUGGAUUCAGCGGCGGACGGGUGAGUAAUGCCUAGGAAUCUGCCUGGUAGUGGGGGAUAACGUCCGGAAACGGGCGCUAAUACCGCAUACGUCCUGAGGGAGAAAGUGGGGGAUCUUCGGACCUCACGCUAUCAGAUGAGCCUAGGUCGGAUUAGCUAGUUGGUGGGGUAAAGGCCUACCAAGGCGACGAUCCGUAACUGGUCUGAGAGGAUGAUCAGUCACAGGGGAACUGAGACGAGGUCCAGACCCCGAGGGGGGGCGGGAGGGGGAAAGUUUGAAAAAGGGCCGAAGCUCGAACCGACCAUUGCGGGGUGUGAAAGGAGGGUUUGGGGAUUUAAAGGCCUUUUAAGUUGGGAGGAAGGGAAAAAAUUAAUUCCUUUGCUUUUUUAGCUUGCCAAAAAAAUAGACACCGGGUAACUUUGGUC
Molecule: ribosomal RNA, 484 nt
Filed under: uncultured bacterium
Lineage: Bacteria
Description: partial 16S ribosomal RNA
Rfam family: Bacterial small subunit ribosomal RNA
Source: RNAcentral